GCUUAGAACUGGUAGCCUGCUGACUCUUAAUCAGCGGGUCCAAGGUUCGAGUCCUUGGCGAGGCA
This 65-nucleotide transfer RNA is filed under the name Phycisphaerales bacterium. RNAcentral describes it as "tRNA-Lys". The record is from RNAcentral. Lineage: Bacteria; Pseudomonadati; Planctomycetota; Phycisphaerae; Phycisphaerales.